GGAAUUGUUCGCAAUGGGCGCAAGCCUGACGACGCAACGCCGCGUGGAGGAUGAAGAUCUUCGGGUCGUAAACUCCUUUCGAUCGAGACGAAUGGCCUUCGGGUGAACAGCCCGGGGGAAUGACGGUACCGAGAGAAGAAGCCCCGGCUAACUCCGUGCCAGCAGCCGCGGUAAUACGGGGGGGGCAAGCGUUGUUCGGAAUUACUGGGCGUAAAGGGCUCGUAGGCGGCCAACUAAGUCAGACGUGAAAUCCCUCGGCUUAACCGGGGAACUGCGUCUGAUACUGGAUGGCUUGAGAUUGGGAGAGGGAUGCGGAAUUCCAGGUGUAGCGGUGAAAUGCGUAGAUAUCUGGAGGAACACCGGUGGCGAAGGCGGCAUCCUGGACCAACACUGACGCUGAUGAGCGAAAGCCAGGGGAGCAAA
This 423-nucleotide ribosomal RNA is filed under the name uncultured bacterium. RNAcentral describes it as "bacterial SSU rRNA". It matches the Rfam family "Bacterial small subunit ribosomal RNA", at positions 358 to 772 of the family's 1533-position model. The record is from RNAcentral.